This is a long non-coding RNA of Puntigrus tetrazona (Sumatra barb), 1522 nucleotides long. RefSeq lists it as uncharacterized. The transcript is spliced from 3 exons. NCBI's taxonomy places the organism in Eukaryota, Metazoa, Chordata, Actinopteri, Cypriniformes, Cyprinidae. The record is from RefSeq and is a predicted model, not a curated record.
CUCUUCAGGACAAUAGCCCUUCAGGACCAGAGCUGUACAAUAAACUAGAGAGAGGCCUUGGCAAGUCUUGCACUUAGACAUAAGCUAAUGGUAACAUUUCACAGCCCCUUCAGACGGACAGCUCCAGUGCAUUAUUGCAGUAAUCGAUCAGGGCCUCGGCACACGCAUGAAAGGCUCAUUCAUCGCUCCCGGACCACCCGCUUUCGCUCACACGUCACAACAACCCACCUCUCAGCGUUUAAAGAACUGAAAAACAAGCCUGUCCAUGCUGGGCGAACACGCACGAUGGAAAUGGAGUGGGAGGGCUGGGGAGCUGGAUAAGAUGGAAGUGGCUGAGAGGAGACAAAAAUAAAACCCAAUUUCAACAAUAGCUCAAACCCCUGCCUCGGUGUCUACAGGAGGACGAACCAGCACACCAUCAGCAAGUCCAGGAAUUUUGUCUUCCGCUGUAGGGAGUUUUUUUAAGCUCUAUUUUUCACAGGCGUCCUUGAAAAUAAGGCAAGGAAACAAUGACUGCGGUGACUAAACAGUUGUGGCACUUUUGCAAGCCGUAUUUCAGUGAAAAAAAAGAGUCUUAUUCACUAACCACCUGAAACCUGCUGUCACUAACCAAUAAUUUUGUCCCUUUUCUUUUUCUUCUUUUUUUUUGAGGCAACAGUGAAGCUGGCACUUACAAUGGAAAUAAAUGUGGUUGGUUUGUAGAAGGUUUGAAUACAGAAAUGCGAAGCUUAUAAUUGUAUACAAUUACUUACAUAUUAUAAUUAUCAAAAGUUGUGUAUUAUUUUAGCUGUAAAGUUGUUUUUGUCAAUUUCAUGGUCAACAAAGAGUUGUAAAAUGAAGUAUAAUUUUACAUAAAAAUGCUGGAAACUUUAUUAUUUUAUUAUUAUUUAUAAUUUUGCCACACUAAAACCAUGUUAAUGGACAUUUUGAUUAAGUAUUGUGACGUUUAUAAUUGAAAUAGAUUUUUUUGCUAUUUAUCGACUGGCCCAUUCAUUUCUAUGUGGAGCUUAUAAUUUGUGAAAUUUGUUCACCCAAAAUUGAAAAUUACCCCAUAUUUUACCCACUCCAAAGCCAUCCUAGGUAUAUAUGACUUUCUUCUUUCAGACGAACAGUCAGAGGUUUUAAAAAAUGUAUCCUGGCUGUUUCAAGCUUUAGGUAAGGUCACUAUUUUGAAGCUCCCUUAAAUCAGAUAUUUCCAUCGUAAAACUAACCUAUAUUCCUCCAAAGAGGUUAACAUGUCUUCUGAAACAGAUCGAUGGAAAUCACUGACUUCUGACAAUGGUUGUAUGCACAUUCGUGAGAGAGUUGAGUUACAGCUUCUUGGCUGACCUCUGACUCCACGUAUGACGUAAGCUGCAUUAUAACUUCUUGUUAGAGUUUUUUUUGCAUUAGUAUUGCUCUAUUCUUUCUUGUUUAUUCUCUUCUGAGCUUACGUCAUACUUUGUAGGUGGAGAGGUCAGCCAAGAAGCCGGAACUCAACUCUCUUGCAAAGGCGCAUACAGCCAUUCCCAGGAAGUCAGUU